RNAcentral lists this ribosomal RNA (253 nucleotides) under uncultured bacterium. Its description in RNAcentral is "partial 16S ribosomal RNA". It matches the Rfam family "Bacterial small subunit ribosomal RNA", at positions 524 to 776 of the family's 1533-position model. The record is from RNAcentral. RNAcentral also lists the same sequence under 1 other name.
UACGAAGGGUGCAAGCGUUGUUCGGAUUUAUUGGGCGUAAAGCGCGCGCAGGCGGGAUGGCAAGUCAGAUGUGAAAUCUCGGGGCUCAACUCCGAAACUGCGUCUGAAACUACUAUUCUAGAAUACUGGAGAGGGAUGGGGAAUUUCGCAUGUAGGGGUAAAAUCCGUAGAUAUGCGAAGGAACACCUGGAGCGAAGGCGCCAUCCUGGACAGUCAUUGACGCUGAGGCGCGAAAGCGUGGGGAGCAAACAGG